This 92-nucleotide transfer RNA is filed under the name Trametes cinnabarina. RNAcentral's name for it is "Pycnoporus cinnabarinus tRNA". It matches the Rfam family "tRNA". From Rfam's summary of the family: Transfer RNA (tRNA) molecules are approximately 80 nucleotides in length. Lineage: Eukaryota; Fungi; Basidiomycota; Agaricomycetes; Polyporales; Polyporaceae. The record is from Rfam by way of RNAcentral.
GCCGGGAUAGCUCAGCUGGGAGAGCAACAGACUGAAGCUGCGGUUAAUUUCGGGCGUUCUGGAGGUCGCGUGUUCAAGCCACGCUCCUGGCA